Molecule: ribosomal RNA, 492 nt
Filed under: uncultured bacterium
Lineage: Bacteria
Description: partial 16S ribosomal RNA
Rfam family: Bacterial small subunit ribosomal RNA
Source: RNAcentral
AGUGAACGCUGGCGGUAGGCCUAACACAUGCAAGUCGAACGGCAGCACAGUAAGAGCUUGCUCUUACGGGUGGCGAGUGGCGGACGGGUGAGGAAUACAUCGGAAUCUACUUUUUCGUGGGGGCUAACGUAGGGAAACUUACGCUAAUACCGCAUACGACCUACGGGUGAAAGCAGGGGAUCUUCGGACCUUGCGCGAUUGAAUGAGCCGAUGUCGGAUUAGCUAGUUGGCGGGGUAAAGGCCCACCAAGGCGACGAUCCGUAGCUGGUCUGAGAGGAUGAUCAGCCAGACUGGGAGUGAGACACGGUCCAGACUCCGACGGGAGGCAGCAGUGGGGAAUAUUGGACAAGGGGCGCAAGCCUGAUCCAGCCAUACCGCGUGGGUGAAGAAGGCCUUCGGGUUGUAAAGCCCUUUUGUUGGGAAAGAAAAGCAGCAGGUUAAUACCCCGCUGUUCUGACGGUACCCAAAGAAUAAGCACCGGCUAACUUCGUG